RNAcentral lists this ribosomal RNA (459 nucleotides) under uncultured bacterium. RNAcentral's name for it is "partial 16S ribosomal RNA". It matches the Rfam family "Bacterial small subunit ribosomal RNA", at positions 338 to 795 of the family's 1533-position model. The record is from RNAcentral.
CCUACGGGUGGCAGCAGUGAGGAAUAUUGGUCAAUGGGCGGGAGCCUGAACCAGCCAAGCCGCGUGAGGGAAGAAGGUACAGCGUAUCGUAAACCUCUUUUGUCAGGGAACAAAGGCGGGGACUAGUCCCCGGAUGAGGGUACCUGAAGAAAAAGCAUCGGCUAACUCCGUGCCAGCAGCCGCGGUAAUACGGAGGAUGCGAGCGUUAUCCGGAUUUAUUGGGUUUAAAGGGUGCGCAGGUGGCCUGUUAAGUCAGCGGGAAAAGCCCGGGGCUCAACCCCGGCGAGCCGUUGAAACUGGCGGGAUGGAGUUGGAGAGAAGUACGCGGAAUGCGCGGUGUAGCGGUGAAAUGCUUAGAUAUCGCGCAGAACCCCGAUUGCGAAGGCAGCGUACCGGCUCCACACUGACGCUGAGGCACGAAAGCGUGGGUAUCGAACAGGAUUAGAUACCCUAGUAGUC